AUUGAACGCUGGCGGUAUGCUUAACACAUGCAAGUCGAACGGUAGCAGGCCUUCGGGCGCUGACGAGUGGCGGACGGGUGAGUAACGCGUAGGAAUCUGCCUCAUAGUGGGGGGACAACGUGGGGAAACUCACGCUAAUACCGCAUACGCCCUACGGGGGAAAGCGGGGGAUCUUCGGACCUCGCGCUAUGAGAUGAGCCUGCGUUAGAUUAGCUAGUUGGUGGGGUAAAGGCCUACCAAGGCGACGAUCUAUAGCUGGUCUGAGAGGACGAUCAGCCACACUGGGACUGAGACACGGCCCAGACUCCUACGGGAGGCAGCAGUGGGGAAUAUUGGGCAAUGGGCGCAAGCCUGAUCCAGCCAUGCCGCGUGAGUGAAGAAGGCCUUCGGGUU
Molecule: ribosomal RNA, 393 nt
Filed under: uncultured bacterium
Lineage: Bacteria
Description: bacterial SSU rRNA
Rfam family: Bacterial small subunit ribosomal RNA
Source: RNAcentral